This 212-nucleotide unclassified non-coding RNA is filed under the name Hevea brasiliensis (rubber tree). The record is from RNAcentral. Lineage: Eukaryota; Viridiplantae; Streptophyta; Magnoliopsida; Malpighiales; Euphorbiaceae.
UGGAAUGUGACCGCGCAGAUCCUGAUUUCUUUGCUACUGGCAACGGUGGAAGCUUAGUAUUUGGUGCAGGCUGAGACAGAUUCAUCUGUUGAUGCACCUGCUGCAUAAUAGUCGCAACUUUAUGGUGCUCAGCUUCAUACUUCUCAUACGCUGGUUUGAACAUCUCUUCAAAGAUACCAAGAUACUCCUCAGCCAAAUUAUGCACAUGCUGA